This 392-nucleotide ribosomal RNA is filed under the name uncultured bacterium. Its description in RNAcentral is "partial 16S ribosomal RNA". It matches the Rfam family "Bacterial small subunit ribosomal RNA", at positions 523 to 918 of the family's 1533-position model. The record is from RNAcentral.
AUACGGAGGAUCCGAGCGUUAUCCGGAUUUAUUGGGUUUAAAGGGAGCGUAGGCGGACGCUUAAGUCAGUUGUGAAAGUUUGCGGCUCAACCGUAAAAUUGCAGUUGAUACUGGGUGUCUUGAGUACAGUAGAGGCAGGCGGAAUUCGUGGGGUAGCGGUGAAAUGCUUAGAUAUCACGAAGAACUCCGAUUGCGAAGGCAGCCUGCUGGACUGUAACUGACGCUGAUGCUCGAAAGUGUGGGUUCAAACAGGAUUAGAUACCCUGGUAGUCCACACAGUAAACGAUGAAUACUCGCUGUUUGCGAUAUACAGUAAGCGGCCAAGCGAAAGCGUUAAGUAUUCCACCUGGGGAGUACGCCGGCAACGGUGAAACUCAAAUGAAUUGACGGGG